GAUGAACGCUAGCGGCAGGCCUAACACAUGCAAGUCGAGGGGCAGCACAGAAACAGCAAUGUUUUGGUGGCGACCGGCGGACGGGUGCGUAACGCGUAUGCAACCUACCUUUAACAGGGGGAUAACGGAGAGAAAUUUCCACUAAUACCCCAUAACAUCGAUCAAGGCAUCUUGAUUGGUUGAAAACUCCGGUGGUUAAGAUUGGCAUGCGUUGUAUUAGGUAGUUGGUGAGGUAAUGGCUCACCAAGCCUACGAUACAUAGGGGGACUGAGAGGUUAGCCCCCCACACUGGUACUGAGACACGGACCAGACUCCUACGGGAGGCAGCAGUGAGGAAUAUUGGUCAAUGGGGGCAACCCUGAACCAGCCAUGCCGCGUGCAGGAAGACGGCUCUAUGAGUUGUAAACUGCUUUUAAACAGGGAUAAAGCACAGUAUGUAUACUGUGUUGAAGGUACUGUAAGAAUAAGGAUCGGCUAACUUCGUGCCAGCCGCCGCAGUAA
This 501-nucleotide ribosomal RNA is filed under the name uncultured bacterium. Its description in RNAcentral is "partial 16S ribosomal RNA". It matches the Rfam family "Bacterial small subunit ribosomal RNA", at positions 28 to 523 of the family's 1533-position model. The record is from RNAcentral.